Molecule: ribosomal RNA, 279 nt
Filed under: uncultured bacterium
Lineage: Bacteria
Description: partial 16S ribosomal RNA
Rfam family: Bacterial small subunit ribosomal RNA
Source: RNAcentral
UGCCAGCAGUCGCGGUAAUACGAAGGGACCUAGCGUAGUUCGGAAUUACUGGGCUUAAAGAGCUCGUAGGUGGUUAAAAAAGUUGAUGGUGAAAUCCCAAGGCUCAACCUUGGAACCGCCAUCAAAACUUUUUAGCUAGAGUGUGAUAGAGGUAAGUGGAAUUUCUAGUGUAGAGGUGAAAUUCGUAGAUAUUAGAAAGAACACCGAUAGCGAAGGCACCCUACUGGGCCAGUACUGACACUCAGAGGCGAAAGCUAGGGUAGCAAAAGGGAUUAGAUA